GGAGACGACAAGGGAAAAAGCGCCUCUUACACACUCAACGGGAAAAGAUCGCCGGCUCGGCAGCUCAAGCUCAAGCGCGCCAUUCCCAUCGCACCCAACGCUCCAGCCGCUUGCUCACAGAAUCACAAGCACACACACACACACUCGCCGCUGUGCGUCGGACUCCGGCUCGGCCUCCCCUCCUUCCCUCUGACUCUUCCUUGCUCUGUUUCCCUCGUUACCGUUCUCACUAUCGCCACUAUACCGUGCUUGCGAGACUAUCGUGGCUUCACCCCCCCCCCAAUCCCAUUCCAGCGUACGUGUGCGUGUGUGGGUGUCUUCCUCUUCUCUCACUCUGUCACCCUAUCCCCACUGCGCACGAAGGACGUCGUCUUGGGCAACUCACCCUCCCUUCCCACAGCAUCUUCGGGCAUAUUAGGCGAGGAAAAGGAGCGCCGGAGCUGUGCGCCUUGUCGUCUCCCCUCCCCACUCCUCUUUCUCUCUCUGUUGCCGUCUCUCACCCGUGUUUAUUCUUCACACACACACACACACAUUGACAUGCUUCGCAGUAUCGUCGUCGCGGUACUGCUCCUCAGCACCGUCUGCCUGGAGCACGUGGUGCGGGCAGGCCCGGUGUUGGAGGUGGGAGUCGAUCGCGCCAUCACGUUCAACCGCCAGCUGGGCGACGGGGAUGAGUUGCUCUUCGGAAGCCGUGCGGUGCUGCUGCGCGGCGAGAUAGUGCGGUAUACGGCCGGGGCGUCUGCGUCCUACCACGGCUACACCGUGUACGUGCAGUGCUCCGAGCACCUCACGAACUUUGCUCUGCAACAGCUCGCCGCGCCCGAGCUGUCGAAGGCGGCGAAGGGUCUCGUCGUGGAGCUGUGCGACACGGACACGACGAACGAGGACGUGCUCUCGUUCUUCUUCAGCAACGCCGCCGCCAACAUCCCUGUUUAUUUUCUGCCCAACGGCACGGCCUCGAAGGAGCUGUCGCGGCUGCUGUCCGUCGCGGCUCAGCGCAGUGCGACGGAGCGGGUGGUGCUGUCCGUGGCCAAGACGCGGCGGCUGAGCGAGCUGGUGGAGAACUCGACGCUGCCCAGUGCCACUAUUGAGAGUCAUUACGUGCACAAGCCGAAGCAGACGCGCAGUAAGGCCGCCUCCGCUGCCGCCGCACCCCAGGUCCUGGUCACUGCGCACUUUGAUUCCCUUGGCGUGUCCCCUGCGAGCCGGACGAGCGGCGGCACCUCCGGCGCUGUGGUGGCGAUGGAGCUGUGGCGCCGGCUGACGUCCACACCUUAUGCUCGGCAGGAGUCUGUGGCUCCGUACGAGGUCACCGUGCUUCUCGGCAGCACGUCGCGCUUCAACUACGCUGGAACGACGUCGUGGCUAUCGCAGCACACAGAUAGGGAGCUCGAUCAGUUUAGGGUGGUUCUCUGCCUCGAUGAGCUGCUGCCGCCUCGUGAAACGAGCGAGAACGCGCCGGACCUUUAUCUGCAUGUCCAGGACGUUCUCAUGAAGCGGCAGCAUGGCCAGCAGGUCGUGGAGCAGGUCGAGGCAGCGGCAAAGUUGCUCGGCAUUUCGCUGAAGGUCGUGUCUGCCAAGACGAACUACCAGCAUUACGACCUUGAAUUUGAACAUGAGGCGUUUGCUAGCCGUCAGAUGACCGCCAUGACACUUUCUACCCACCGCGUCCACCACAACGACCAGCUUUUCCGUGAUCUGCGCCGACCCCCGGCCACAGCUGCAGAUGCAGCAAUGCUCGCGAAGCGCGCGGACCUCGUUGAAGCCAUUGUGCGCAUCGUCGCCGAGGCGGCUCCGUCCGCGGAGGGAGUGACGACAGUGUGGCCUGGCGCGGCCUCGUACAUUCAGGGGAUGCUGCAUUACGCGAGUGACUCGCAGCGCUCGCCGGUGGCGCAAAACGGUGCCGGCCUGCGGCAGUACGCCGCUACCGUAGAGCAUCACAUGCGUGCGCAGGCAGCAGCAGCGCAGCGGGCCGCUUUCACCUCCGCAUCCUCCGUCGCGACGUACCAGGAACUGCGUACGCCCGGUAUCACCCUAUUCGGCCCCUACGAGGAAACAAUGCAGGUCUUUAUGGCCAAGUCGUAUCUCUUUGAGUGUGCCGUGGCGGCCGCGGCGCUCGCGGCGCUUCUUGCCUUUCUGUACGUAGAGGUGGGGCUGACGACAGCUCUGCGCCUCUUCUCUGACUAGGCUUGUGAUUAGGGUGCCUGUGCCCUCGUGUUCGGUGUCUGCAUGCCCUCUACCGCGAGGUUAUGCAUAGCUGAGGUGCGUGCGCGGCCUUCGACCCGCUUCUCUCCGAUCGGGCACCCAUGCAGGAGAACACCACGGCAGACACGCACACAGGCACAGACACCUUGUCGCGUGAGGGAUGGCCGAAGUGAUGUGGGCGGGUUGAUGACGUUGAUGGUUUGUAAAGUGACGAAUCUCUCUAAUCGCCAACAAGGAAUAGCAAAAAACAGCACAGCUAUCAAUCAGACAGCUACGGCAGAGAGGAGGGUGAGUAGGGCCGGAGGGAGGAGAGAAGACGUAAGCACCUCGAAGAAUGCCUCCACUGCGCACCGCUCCGCCCGCCGGACGAGGUUCUGGGUGAGGGAAACCCCUUCGAGAUUCGUGACCGCUCCCGUCCUCUCUCUCUCGCGUCCAACACUCCCCACUUUGCGACUGCACCUGGUGCCGUUGAAGCUCGCGCACGCUCGAGGGCAGCGAGGCACGCGCGCAGAUAAAAGAGACGGAGAGGAAGAGGGGGUGGGGUGUUGUGAUGUUGUGCUGUGCGCGCACCCGCUGUCACCUAAGCCUACGUGUGUGUGUUUGUCUUGGAGUCUGAGAAAGCGAGAGGCACACAGACGCGCCAGCACCGCCACACAUCAGCCCUUGUCCUUGCCUUCUCUUCAAGAGUCCGAAGCGUGCCGCCUGCCCGUCCAGCAUUGUG
Molecule: unclassified non-coding RNA, 2926 nt
Filed under: Leishmania donovani
Lineage: Eukaryota; Euglenozoa; Kinetoplastea; Trypanosomatida; Trypanosomatidae
Description: gene:LdHU3.26.1300(CDS-product:hypothetical_prote in_conserved)
Source: RNAcentral